UCCAUUAGAUUCAAGUAGUCUUUCAGGGUU
This 30-nucleotide non-coding RNA is filed under the name Mus musculus (house mouse). Lineage: Eukaryota; Metazoa; Chordata; Mammalia; Rodentia; Muridae. The record is from RNAcentral.